AUUAAUAACCACUCAACCAGUCUCUCUUUCUCCUUAUCCCACUAAUCUUGAAGCACUAUUGGCUACUUUCUAUAAUGUUUUCACUAAACUGCAUGAGAUUCCGUCACCUUAAUCGCAGGAUCUCUUGGCUACUUUCUAUGAUGUUUUCACUAAACUGUAUGGGAUUCCGUCACCUUAAUCGUAGGAUCAUGCCAUUCCCCUUUUCCCAUAAUCUUCUUCAAUUUAGGUCCGAC
This 233-nucleotide long non-coding RNA is filed under the name Gossypium raimondii (Peruvian cotton). Its description in RNAcentral is "long non-coding RNA (GRAI_LNC008264)". Lineage: Eukaryota; Viridiplantae; Streptophyta; Magnoliopsida; Malvales; Malvaceae. The record is from RNAcentral.